This 19-nucleotide small RNA is filed under the name Arabidopsis thaliana (thale cress). RNAcentral describes it as "ATSL188720". The record is from RNAcentral. Lineage: Eukaryota; Viridiplantae; Streptophyta; Magnoliopsida; Brassicales; Brassicaceae.
UAUCUUCUUCUUUUUUGUU